UAGAGUAUGCUAAGGCGCUCGGAAGAACUCUCGUUAAGGAACUCGGCAAAAUGACCCCGUAACUUCGGGAGAAGGGGUGCCUCGGUAGGGUGAAUAGCCCGAGGGGGCCGCAGUGAAAAGGCCCAAGCGACUGUUUAGCAAAAACACAGGUCUGUGCGAAGCCGUAAGGCGAAGUAUACGGGCUGACGCCUGCCCGGUGCUGGAAGGUUAAGGGGAGUGGUUAGCCGCAAGGCGAAGCUAUGAACCGAAGCCCCAGUAAACGGCGGCCGUAACAAUAACGGUCCUAAGGUAGCGAAAUUCCUUGUCAGGUAAAUUCUGACCCGCACGAAUGGCGUAACGACUUGGGCGCUGUCUCAACGAGAGAUCCGGUGAAAUUUUAAUACCUGUGAAGAUGCAGGUUACCCGCGACAAGACGGAAAGACCCCAUGGAGCUUUACUGCAGCUUGAUAUUGGACUUUGGUACGAUCUGUACAGGAUAGGUGGGAGCCUUGGAAACCGGAGCGCCAGCUUCGGUGGAGGCAUCGUUGGGAUACCACCCUGAUCGUAUCGGAGUUCUAACCUGGUACCGUAAUCCGGUACAGGGACCGUGUCAGGUGGGCAGUUUGACAGGGGCGGUCGCCUCCUAAAAUGUAACGGAGGCGCCCAAAGGUUCCCUCAGAAUGGUAGGAAAUCAUUCGUAGCGUGUAAAGGCAUAAGGGAGCUUGACUGCGAGACCUACAAGUCGAGCAGGGACGAAAGUCGGGCUUAGUGAUCCGGUGGUACCGAAUGGAAGGGCCAUCGCUCAACGGAUAAAAGCUACCCUGGGGAUAACAGGCUUAUCUCCCCCAAGAGUCCACAUCGACGGGGAGGUUUGGCACCUCGAUGUCGGCUCAUCGCAUCCUGGGGCUGAAGUAGGUCCCAAGGGUUGGGCUGUUCGCCCAUUAAAGCGGUACGCGAGCUGGGUUCAGAACGUCGUGAGACAGUUCGGUCCCUAUCUGUCGUGGGCGUAGGAAAUUUGCGAGGAGCUGUCCUUAGUACGAGAGGACCGGGAUGGACGCACCGCUGGUGUACCAGUUGUUCCGCCAGGAGCAUCGCUGGGUAGCCAAGUGCGGACGGGAUAAGCGCUGAAAGCAUCUAAGCGUGAAGCCCCCCUCAAGAUGAGAUUUCCCAGUAUGUAGGACCCCUUGAAGACGACGAGGUUGAUAGGUUCGAGGUGGAAGUGCGGCAACGUGUGGAGCUGACGAAUACUAAUCGGUCGAGGGCUUAUUC
This 1248-nucleotide ribosomal RNA is filed under the name metagenome. RNAcentral describes it as "bacterial LSU rRNA". It matches the Rfam family "Bacterial large subunit ribosomal RNA", at positions 1672 to 2925 of the family's 2925-position model. The record is from RNAcentral.